AUCUUGGUGUCGGGCGACCUGCUUCCGGCUUGUAGCCUACGCGAUGGUCUCAGGGAUCUUCGCGAGCCGAGCACCAAACAUUUCAGAUGAAGAAAGUCCUGGAAGAGAAACAUUUUGCUAAUAUGGAAGAGGUGAAACAAACGAACGAACAAACAAAAACAGCAGAAGCACCAAAAGGUGCACAAAAGGCCAAUAGGACAGAGAAGUAAGGGGAUUUAGGAUGAAUGAAAAGGAGGCCAAUUUGACUCAUCCAGACACUCCAAUACGGAUGCCCUACAGUUAACCAACCACUCCUUCCUCUUUUCCUUGUCCUCUCCCUCCCUGUGUGUGUCGGCUCCUUGGAGAGGUGCGCUUACAGAUGUUGGAAUCCUCGCUUAAGGACUUCUCAGUGGGAUCGAAUUCCCCCGCCCCUUGGAUCUGGAGGGGCCUGUGACUCCCACGUGACCAACAGAAUGUAGCAGUUUGUGACAUGAUCCUGUAUGACUUCCAAGGCCACACUACGUAGGCUUUACCCUUUUGCUUGAAGAUUCAUACGGGAUCCCUGAGUCCCAAAGCAGUUGGACUGUGCAGAGGCUGCCGUGCUCAGAGGAAGGUCACACCAGCUUGCACAGAGCGCCCCGACGCGACGACAUGAAAGGCGAUGCCCGCCGUCACCAGCGGAUCCCAGCCUCACGCUGUUCCAGCUUCAGAGCCCCUGGCAGGCUGCUGCCUGCGAGGCCAGAGCCAGAGAGGCCCGGCUGGAGCUCUCCCCGAAUGCCUGGCCCCCAGAAACAGAGAUUAAAAGUGUGUUGUUGCUUUAAGUCACUAUGUUUUGUGUGACUUCUGAGAGAAUAGAUAACUUUAUUUUGUAUGAAAUUCCUUUAAUCUAAGGAAGAUAUUUUAAUAAAUUUUAAUAAAUCAG
This is a long non-coding RNA of Artibeus jamaicensis (Jamaican fruit-eating bat), 901 nucleotides long. RefSeq lists it as uncharacterized. The transcript has 4 exons. NCBI's taxonomy places the organism in Eukaryota, Metazoa, Chordata, Mammalia, Chiroptera, Phyllostomidae. The record is from RefSeq and is a predicted model, not a curated record.